AGCUGAGUUUGAUCCUGGCUCAGAUUGAACGCUGGCGGUAUGCCUUACACAUGCAAGUCGAACGGUAGAGGGGCAACCCUUGAGAGUGGCGAACGGGUGAGUAAUACAUCGGAACGUGCCCAGUCGUGGGGGAUAACGUAGCGAAAGCUACGCUAAUACCGCAUACGACCUGAGGGUGAAAGCGGGGGACUCGCAAGAGCCUCGCGCGAUUGGAGCGGCCGAUGGCAGAUUAGGUAGUUGGUGAGGUAAAGGCUCACCAAGGCUUCGAUCAGUAGCUGGUCUGAGAGGACGAUCAGCCACACUGGGGACUGAGACACGGCCCAGACUCCUACGGGAGCAGCAGUGGGGAAUUUUGGACAAUGGGGCGAAAGCCUGAUCCCAGCAAUGCCGCGUGUGCGAAGAAGGCCUUCGGGUUGUAAAGCACUUUGUCAGGACGAACGUGGGGGCU
This 448-nucleotide ribosomal RNA is filed under the name uncultured Sphaerotilus sp. RNAcentral's name for it is "bacterial SSU rRNA". It matches the Rfam family "Bacterial small subunit ribosomal RNA", at positions 1 to 459 of the family's 1533-position model. Lineage: Bacteria; Pseudomonadati; Pseudomonadota; Betaproteobacteria; Burkholderiales; Sphaerotilaceae. The record is from RNAcentral.